This 253-nucleotide ribosomal RNA is filed under the name uncultured bacterium. RNAcentral describes it as "partial 16S ribosomal RNA". It matches the Rfam family "Bacterial small subunit ribosomal RNA", at positions 524 to 776 of the family's 1533-position model. The record is from RNAcentral.
UACGUAGGUGGCAAGCGUUGUCCGGAAUUAUUGGGCGUAAAGCGCGCGCAGGCGGUCCUUUAAGUCUGAUGUGAAAGCCCACGGCUCAACCGUGGAGGGUCAUUGGAAACUGGGGGACUUGAGUGCGGAAGAGGAAAGCGGAAUUCCACGUGUAGCGGUGAAAUGCGUAGAGAUGUGGAGGAACACCAGUGGCGAAGGCGGCUUUCUGGUCUGUAACUGACGCUGAGGCGCGAAAGCGUGGGGAGCAAACAGG